GAUGAAGAACGUAGCGAAAUGCGAUAAGUAAUGUGAAUUGCAGAAUUCAGUGAAUCAUCGAAUCUUUGAACGCACCUUGCGCUCUUUGGCCAUUCCAAGGAGCAUGCCUGUUUGAGUGUCAUUGAAUCCUCAAGGGCCCCCUUUCUUCCGAGGGGGGGGGACUUUGGACUUGGGAGCGCUGCGGCCGCCGGGCUUUCCUCCGGCUCCGCUCUCCUCAAACGCAUCAGUAGGGCCCCUCAUCCCUUCGGGUCUUUUGCGGCGUUGAUAGUCGUCUACGCCUCUGCCCCGUCGGGUCUCACCUGCUCCUCAACCCCACAUUCUCCUUUGAACGCUUUGACCUCAAAUCAGGUAGGACUACCCGCUGAACUUAAGCAUAUCAAUAAGCGGAGGA
Molecule: unclassified non-coding RNA, 391 nt
Filed under: soil metagenome
Description: partial contains 5.8S ribosomal RNA, internal transcribed spacer 2, and large subunit ribosomal RNA
Rfam family: 5.8S ribosomal RNA (bases 1-121)
Source: RNAcentral